AGUGAACGCUGGCGGCAGGCCUAACACAUGCAAGUCGAGCGGCAGCGGGUUCCCGCGAGGGGAUGCCGGCGAGCGGCGGACGGGUGAGGAACACAUCGGAAUCUGCCUGGUUGUGGGGGAUAACGUAGGGAAACUUACGCUAAUACCGCAUGCGACCCUGAGUCGACGGACUGGGGGUGAAAGUGAGGGACCUUCGGGCCUCACGCGACCAGAUGAGCCGAUGUCGGAUAGCUAGUUGGCGGGGUAACGGCCCGCCAAGGCGACGAUCCGUAGCUGGUCUGAGAGGAUGAUCAGCCACACUGGGACUGAGACACGGCCCAGACUCCUACGGGAGGCAGCAGU
Molecule: ribosomal RNA, 342 nt
Filed under: uncultured bacterium
Lineage: Bacteria
Description: bacterial SSU rRNA
Rfam family: Bacterial small subunit ribosomal RNA
Source: RNAcentral